GCUUUACUGUAACUUGAAAUUGAAAUUGGACUUUAUUUGCGCAGUAUAGGUGGGAGGCGUUGAGAAUAUUCUUGCGGGAAUAUUGGAGCUAUCAGUGAGAUACCACUCUUGUAAUGUUAGAUUUCUAACUUUGGAUCAUUAUCUGGUCAAAGAACAGUUUCAGGCGGGCAGUUUGACUGGGGCGGUCGCCUCCUAAACGGUAACGGAGGCGUACAAAGGUUUCCUCUGAACGGGUAGAAAUCGUAUCUAGAGUGUAAAGGCAUAAGGAAGCUUGACUGUGAGACCUACAAGUCGAGCAGGGACGAAAGUCGGUCUUAGUGAUCUGACGGUGCUG
RNAcentral lists this ribosomal RNA (334 nucleotides) under Sellaphora lanceolata. RNAcentral's name for it is "bacterial LSU rRNA". It matches the Rfam family "Bacterial large subunit ribosomal RNA", at positions 2098 to 2431 of the family's 2925-position model. The record is from RNAcentral. Lineage: Eukaryota; Bacillariophyta; Bacillariophyceae; Sellaphorales; Sellaphoraceae.